CGCCUCUGCGCAAGUACGCGGUGACGCACGGGGGCGGGGCCGAGCGUCCCCCGCCUCGGGACGCGCCUCCGGGAAGCGCCUGUGGAGAAACCUCAGGAGUCCAUAGUUUUGACGACCAUGAAGGGACCUAAAGGGAACUUCUCUCCUUUACCUAAACUCUACAAGGAACUGGCAUACUGGUAUCAGCAGAGGCCUCUUAUACCUAUCCACCUCCUUGGAAAUCCCAGAUAAUUUGGAUGCUGCCACCAUGUGGACAAAUCUGAGCUAGAUUAGUGGAGAACCCUCAACCAACAUCAACUGCUAGCAAGAGAGGAAAUGAAUUGCCAGAUGAUAGCAGCCCCCAUCAGGAUCCCAAGCAAAGCGAACAGAAAAACCAGGUCAGCAGCCCCUCGAGGACUGUGAACAAACACAGUUAUUGUUAUUUUAAGCUACUAAAUUUUGGGGUGCUGCAACAGAUAAAUGUUAUGGGUACUUUUGAAAAAUGCCAAUUCCUGCCUGUCCUCCAUUUCUCUAGAUAGAGUGAUCAAGAAUUUCUUGGUAAGGAGCUCCACUAAUAUGUUUGUGGUGGCUGUUUUUCAUCAAUAAAGUUUGGAAUGCACUAGUGUAGACCUUGGAGACCAAAUCCUACUGAGUUACCUGGACCUCCGAAGCCCACUAAACCUGCUCCAUUCACGGCACCUGGGCCAAGGAAACUUGCUCUCUGUCACCUAGUGUACAGGUCAAGACCUUUUCUAUUGCAAAUGUCAAAAAACCCAACUAGAACUGCUUAAAGAAAAUGUCUUCUAAACAUUUGAAAAUAAUUUUUAAAAGCAAUAGGGCUAAAUUCAGGCAUGGCAUGUGCCUGUGCCCUCCUCAUUGCUUGUCUCCACACUGGCUUCAUUCUCAGGCUGCCACUGGCACUUCCAGGAUCAACUUAGUGGAAAGGUUCUCUCAGUAGUCUCCACGAAGUCUAACUAUAUUAUUGGCUUUGACUGGCUCCAUUCUUGAACCAAAUCUCUGACUAGGAAAAUGCAAUGCUGUAAUUGGUCAGGCUGGAGCCACCUGGAGCCAAAAGCAGUGUCAUCUGAAGUACGUAGGACAAGGAGUUAGGGAGAUAGCAAUUCUCCAGAGAAAAACUGCUAGAGCAGGUGCCAGGAAAGGGAUGAAUGAAUGUUGGGCAGCAAAACCUGCUGAUAUUUGCUGUGGCUGGACAUGGAGAUCAGAUUUUCUGAUGUCACUUAAAUCCUGAAAAUUCGCACUGGUUCACCUGGCUACUGGAAAUUUUCACCUUCCCAGAUCUCAAAUGUUGGGAUGCCAUGCUUUGCAAUGCAUCUCGGCCGUCACCUGAAUGAGGCAGGCAGGUUGCCCUCUCCAUCAAAAAUGCACCCCCCUCCCAUGCUCUGUAAAACGAUUUGUGAAGUAUUGCCCAUGCGAGAUAAUUUAAUCACUAAGGGCCCUAUCGAUAUGUCUCAGUGUUCAUAAUCCUCUAAUUUCAUGUCUGUCUUUGUAUCAUAAUAAAAGCUGGAUUAAGG
This is a long non-coding RNA of Capra hircus (goat), 1511 nucleotides long. RefSeq lists it as uncharacterized. The transcript has 3 exons. Lineage: Eukaryota; Metazoa; Chordata; Mammalia; Artiodactyla; Bovidae. The record is from RefSeq and is a predicted model, not a curated record.